This is a non-coding RNA of Arachis ipaensis, 426 nucleotides long. Lineage: Eukaryota; Viridiplantae; Streptophyta; Magnoliopsida; Fabales; Fabaceae. The record is from RefSeq and is a predicted model, not a curated record.
GCAGUUGAUAGGGUGGCUACUAGCAACAUUGACGGCAUGGACCUAUAUUCCUCUCUGCUUGCCUUGUUCCUUCUUCUGCGUUGGUACUCAUCUCUGCUCGUAGGAGCUGUGCUCGCGUUCUUCUCUAGUCGGAGUCUUCUACUCACAUGCUUAGUCUCUUCGCCUCUGAAGUCUGAAGCCUUGUCCCCUUGGGUGCUCUCGUGCUUGUUCGUCAACUCUCAUGGUUGCCAGAGAACAUCGCGAGUCACUUCAGUUGAAUGUUGAUAGACUGUGUUAAAGCAGGGCAAAGAUUGCUGUCAAGCUAAAAUAUUGAGAUACGUGCUUUAUCCUCCACAAUAAGCGACCAAGGAAAAAAGAUCGAUGCAAUCCUGUCUAUUGUUUCAUCUGGACCCAGAUCUGUUGCUCAUCAUGAUGAUGAUGCUAAUG